RNAcentral lists this unclassified non-coding RNA (448 nucleotides) under Hevea brasiliensis (rubber tree). Lineage: Eukaryota; Viridiplantae; Streptophyta; Magnoliopsida; Malpighiales; Euphorbiaceae. The record is from RNAcentral.
GGCGGUGGUGGCGGAGAGGGCGUCGGCGGCGGUGAGCUGCGGCGACGUGACGUCGUCGAUCGCGCCGUGCCUGUCGUACGUGAUGGGGAGGGAGAGCUCGCCGUCGUCGUCGUGCUGCAGCGGGGUGAGGACCCUCAACGGCAAGGCCUCCUCCUCCGCCGACCGCCGCACCGCCUGCAGCUGCCUCAAGAACAUGGCCUCCUCCUUCAGGAACCUCAACAUGGGCAACGCCGCCUCCAUCCCCAGCAAAUGUGGCGUCUCCGUCGCCUUCCCCAUCAGCACCUCCGUCGACUGCUCCAAGAUCAACUAAUUACUAGCUUGAUCAUCUCCAGCUGAGAUCGAUAUGUAUGGGAAGAUCUAGAGAGUGACUGUUCACUGCUAGCUUUGUUUAUUUUCUUGCUGCAUGCGUACGUGCACUAUAUAAUGUAAUAAUGCGUUUCAAUGUUUA